Molecule: long non-coding RNA, 452 nt
Filed under: Solanum tuberosum (potato)
Lineage: Eukaryota; Viridiplantae; Streptophyta; Magnoliopsida; Solanales; Solanaceae
Description: long non-coding RNA (STUB_LNC001531)
Source: RNAcentral
ACCGGAUCUCAGUUGGGCCUGUUCAUUUUGUUGGCUCCUUUUAUGUUAAUAAAAAAAUGGGAUCUUGCCCACCUUUAAACCAAAAAAAUAAGAAGUUAAUGCCUCUUGAAAUACAUCUCGAGUUUUGAUAAUGGUAAAAUUUAAAAUGAAUUUGAAAAAAAGAAAUAUUUAUUCACAAGAAAAGAAAGACCCUCGAUUUUUUUUUUGAAAAGGUAUUAGUUGUAUUGCACUAGCACUGUAUUUUCCUGUCUACACCAUGCCUUUAUUUAUGCCCCUUUCAAAUGGGAUAGAAGAUUGAUAAGGUGAGAGAGUUUUAAUGGCAACGCAGCAGGGAAAAAAAGACUUUCAGCUUCGUGAAAUAGAGCACAAUCAUUGAAAGGAAGGAAGAGGAAAGUCUACUCGAGCUUAAUUGAGAGAUCUCAUUGUAGCUCAAGAAAGAAUGAGAAUGAACG